AGCAGUCGCCACGGUAAUACGAACCGUGCGAACGUUAUUCGGAAUUACUGGGCUUAAAGCGCGUGUAGGCGGGCCGCCACGUCGGUUGCUGAAAUCCCCCGGCUCAACCGGGGAAGUGGCAUCGAUACGAGCGGCCUUGAGGGGGGUAGGGGGAUCUGGAACUUCCGGUGGAGCGGUGAAAUGCGCUGAGAUCGGAAGGAACGCCCGUGGCGAAAGCGAGGUCCUGGACCCUUUCUGACGCUGAGACGCGAAAGCCAGGGGAGCGAACGGGAUUAGAGACCCCUGUAGUCCCUGUCUCUUAUU
This 303-nucleotide ribosomal RNA is filed under the name uncultured bacterium. RNAcentral's name for it is "partial 16S ribosomal RNA". It matches the Rfam family "Bacterial small subunit ribosomal RNA", at positions 507 to 807 of the family's 1533-position model. The record is from RNAcentral.